Molecule: long non-coding RNA, 4150 nt
Organism: Parus major (Great Tit)
Lineage: Eukaryota; Metazoa; Chordata; Aves; Passeriformes; Paridae
Exons: 3
Source: RefSeq, a predicted model, not a curated record
AGAACCAGCAAUACUCAACUGUACACCACACCAAAAAUAUGUUAUAUCUUUAAUUGCACAAAUAUUCCACUAAGUUAAAUGUGGCCUAAAGCACUGAAAUUUGCCAUUCAACAGCUCAUCAAAGGCUUUGAAAAACUUUUUAAAGAAGAAUAAUUUCUAACUGAAGAUUUCUACAGAUAAAUGUAGAGGGUCACAUUCUUAGCUGGUAUAAAAAUGAGGUAUACAGAAGAGUUUAAAUGUGAACCACAGCCAGGUUUUCAACAGUAUGAGCUAAGGCAUAGGAGAUUGUAAAUUGGUGACACCCUGGAGGAGAGUUAAACACGUGGACAGAACUUCUGUGUGGAACGUUUUGUUUCCAGCUAUGUACAUGAAAGGCAUUUCUGAGAAGAAAGUUGCUGCAGUCACAGCCUAGCAAAGCAAACUUACUAAUUAACUGCAGGCUGCACCACUUGCACUUAGCUACGUGCCCAGGCUGACAACACCGCCUUCAGUGCCGCUUUGCAAACAAAUUUAAAUAUUCAGCGCACAGCUUCUGGGAAAAAGGCCAUCUUUCUUCAUGCUGUAGCUUUGGGAUGUAACAUUUAUUAGUGACUUAUGCUUAUUUCCACUGGCUUUGUGAUGCCAGGAGAGUUAGCAGCAGGCUGAAUCCUCUAGGUGUAUACACCCAGUAGGAAUGGGGAAGGGAAGGAACUACCAUGAGGGAUGGAACAGAGGGAGGAAUGUGGAGAUGCCUGUGCAAUGUUGGUUGGCGGUAUGGCUGUCUGGAAAAACAAAAUCUCCUUUGUGGCAAACGCAGAGGUUUAAAAUCUGUUUACACUGUGUAUCAGAAUGUAAAUAAUUUCUAUUUAAAAAGUACACCAAAAGUAAAAGCAAAGAAUAUCUCUGCCAAGUGUCUGAUAACCAGCCUCAAUAUCUUUUGAUCUUCUCUGUGUCUUCUACCAGUUUCCAGGCUCACAACUUUUAUUCUCUGAUGAGUGACCCCCCUCGUUGUCCUUUUUUCCUGCCUUCCUGGAAAAAUUAUGCCUUUUCUUUUUUGUUGGUACCUCAGUCUGAGGAAUAGCUGCACUUAAUUUGAGAGGGAAAUGUUGAGAGCUUUUGUUGGAAUGUUUACUGUGAACUCUUUGAGAUGACUGGUGUUAAUUUCACGCAGCAUCAAGGGUUCAUGAACAAAAAUACACUUCUCCAGGCAAAUACUGUAUUUCUUCCCCUCUUAAAACACUGUUUGUAAAACGUUCCCUGCAACUUCAACUUGAUAGGAAGCAUCAAACUCUUACAUGUGAUAGAGAAAAAAAAAAGGAAGAAUAAAUCCAAGUUAGAAUAUGCACUUCUAGAGAAAUCUGACGUUAUUACUGGAUAAAUUGUGUUCAUCCCCACUUGAGAUUGCCAUAGUUUAAAUCUCUGGACAGUGAAGAGAAAUAAUUUACAGACUCACAGCCUGAUUACUAGUUAAGAAAAAGUUUGCAGAGAUUUUGUCCAGGCUGACCUGAACUAAUCAAUUUUCAGUUCUGACUUCAUAAUAUGACCUGUGGUUUCUCUAAUGCAUGUGCCCUCUCCUGCAAGUGUGCUCCAGCUGGUUUAUACUCACCAUGACUGAAUUCAAGCUUUCUAAUAAAAUUUGCGAGGGAGUGUGCUGUGGUGUUACAAUGUACUUGAAGUAAUAAAUGAAGUGAUCCUGACAGAGUAGAAGCUGCAAGAUGAUAGGUUGUGUGUCUAUAAAUGUUAGGUAUCAUUAUAUGCUCUCCUAGCCCAUGGAGACCAUUUCUGCUCUUUAGUGUCUAGUAGAAUUUGACUCUUAAUUUUCCCUGCAGAAGGGACUAAGCUGGAAACAACUCCUGCCUCUAACACCUCUUGAAAGGAUUUGAUGCAUGAGUUAAUUUAUUCCAUAUCAUAAUUAAUCAUUUUGUCUCUCACUGUAAAAAUGUACAAUGUCAUUUACAUUGCACGUGUUCAUUUUACCAUCAGUAUAGUAAGCGACAUUUCCUGUAAUUAAAUAGAGAUAUUACAUUAAACAGUUAAGAUGUGUGUUAUAACAGAAGUGAGAAGUGAAACAGAACCAAUUUUCUAUCCACACUUGAAUCUACACAACAAAGCAAAGAAAUGUACAUAAUUGACAAUGCUGACAAUGUGGGAGGUUUAGGUGGUCACCUUGAAUCAGCUUGAGGAAACCCGCAUGAUUUUGAGAAUAGGAUUGUCAGUAAAGGUCAUUGUUGUCAGACCACACUGCUGUUUAUGCUAUACAGGCACAUAUGGCACAGGUUCAUGAUGCUGCUUCUGCUCUGUCAUGGUCAUUACAGACUUCAUCAAGAGCACCAUCCUUCUACAUUCUCUUUAGAAUGAUGGUAAUCGAGAUGAAAGAUAGCAAAAAAGGGCAGGAACCCCUUUAUGAAGAUCCUUGAUGUGAAAGUACGAUAAAAAUUUUCAUCUUAAGAAAAGAAUAUUAAAAUCAAUAAAAUGCAUGAAAGAACAGAAUCGUAUUUGAUGAUAGGCUGAAUUUGAUGCUGAAAAAUGCUGGAAUGAAAGGAUCUAAUCAUCAAGUAGGGUUAGUCCAGUUAAUUAAAAAAACCCCAAACAAAACAACCAAUGAACCAGACAAAAAAAAAUUCCAAUGGGUCUGCUAUCUUGUUUUACCUUUUUUAAUGCACACUGAAGAAGUCUCUCAAGGGACAGUCCAUUGUACUUGUAAUAUACCACACAAAGCUACCAUUGAAUGGCCAAUCUAUCCAUCUUAAAGAAUAUUAGACACAUACAUAGAAGAACGGAAAUGACCAUGUUAGCUUAGAUAUACAGAAGAAAAGACUCUGGCUCUAUCCAAGCAUUAAUGCUGGGUUUGAGACUGGUUGUCACCAGAUCACUGAGAUGAGGGCAGGAGACCCUUCCAUCAAACAUUUGGCUGUAACUUGUCUCUUCUGUCAGGUAUCAGCUGAUUGUGUCCAGCAGCACUUUUGUCAUUGAGCCCUGGAGCACAAGAUUUGAUGGCCAUUUCAGUGAGUUUAAUUGAAUUGCUUGUAUGACUCCACUGUUAGCUAUAGGAUUAUUCAGUCUCACUAGGAAUCUUCAUUUGCCUUACUUCCUCUGAGAAUGAACCCUAUUACCUAAUAAAACACUGUAGAACAAAACAUAUUUCCUUAUAACAGUUUCUGACCUGAACUUUCUUUUUUUUUUGUUAUACUAUUUAUCACAGAAAAGGGAUAUUCCCCUUCUUCAAUUUCAAUAGUACUUUUGAUAUGUUUGCUCAAUUCCUCUCCUUUCUAAAUCAAAUCAUUUCAUCUUUUGAAACUCUCUUCCUUAAAGUCCUUUUUGUUCACUACCAUUAUCUUUCUCUGAUCACACUAAUAUAUGAUGUGCAAAUUCAAGACUUCAUACUGCAAGGUCCUUAACACUGCUUGUCACUCACCAGAUACUUAAUUUAAAGCAUACAAAUAUUCCCUCUGCUCUCAGUGUGAUUUUUUGUGUAGUUUAAUAAAUGUUGAAGACAUUACUGCUGGAUGUUGCCAAAUACAUGUUUGUGCCUACAACCAAAAAACCACAUGCAGUUUUAUUAAUCACCCUGGAAGGACAAUCUAUGUAGCUAUUGAUUUCAGCAACAUAUUCAUAUGCUUAAAAAUAGGCCCACAGUUAAGCUUUUGCUUCUUCAGAUUAAUGCCAAUCUGCAUGUGUUUGCUCCCAGAAGACCACAUGCUAACUACUGUCUGAACACAUUAUGACAACAAUCUGCAUGGAAACAAAAAGAGAUGCUGGGGGAAAAAAAUGAAAUGAAAAAAUGUAAAGAGAAAACUGAAUUAUGAAACCAAAUUAUGGCUAAGCACAAUGACAAUAAAUACUUUUAGCCACAGGCAAUAAAAUAUUGCAUCAUUAAUAAAGCUAAGUGGAGAAAAAUUUUGCUUGUCACUUUCAUUUAUAACCUAAAUUUUAUACUUUAGCCUUACAUGUUAGCUCAGCACAUUACACAUCUCUCAGGCAAUUCCCCUCUGGCCCCAGAAAUCAUGAGUUACUGUGGUUUCAAAAAGUGGUGAACUGGGUAAAUGGGAACUGAUUUUAAAGGAUGAAAUAAUGGCCUAAUUCAAGACUGUAGCAGUUUUAAAGGAAAGACACUUGAGACAGGGAAAUGGGGAAGAACUGAUGAUAUGGAGGUUAAAACUCCAGGUUCUCG